This 2928-nucleotide ribosomal RNA is filed under the name Zygosaccharomyces parabailii. Its description in RNAcentral is "21S ribosomal RNA". It matches the Rfam family "Bacterial large subunit ribosomal RNA". The record is from RNAcentral. Lineage: Eukaryota; Fungi; Ascomycota; Saccharomycetes; Saccharomycetales; Saccharomycetaceae.
AUAUAAGUAAUGAAUAGUAGAUUUGAAAUAAUUAAUUAUAUAGAUUUAAAGAAAUAAUCAUGGAAUACAAAAGCUAUUAAUAGAUAUAGGUUACUAAUAAAAAAAAUAAUCUAUUUUUUUUUAAAACCUAAGGUAAACCUUUUAAUAAAUAUACUAAGUGAACUGAAACAUCUAAGUAACUUAAGGAAAGUAAAUCAACAGAGAUAUCAUAAGUAUUGGUGAGAGAAAGUGAUAUAGUCAUAAUAAGUAUUAUGUAAUAUAAAAUAUGUAAGAAUAUAGGACAAACUAGUUCUAAGACUAAAUACUAUUAAUAAGCAAAAUAAGUACUGUAAAGGAAAGUAAUGAAAUGGUUAUUUUAUAAGUAAUCAUAGAUACAAUAUAAAUUGUAUUAAUGAUGUACCUUUUGUAUAAUGGGUCAGCAAGUAAUUAAUAUUAGCAAAAUAAAAAAUAUUAUAAAUAAUUUGAUAUAUAAAUAGUUAAUAUUAAUUGACCCGAAAGCAAAUGAUCUUACUAUGGUUAGACGGAUACGGUCGAACAGGUUGAUGUUGCAAAAUCAUCUGAUAAACUGUGGUAAGUAGUGAAAGACAAAUCUGAUUUGCAGAUAGCUGGUUUUCUACGAAAUAUAUGUAAGUAUAGCCUCUAUAGUAAUUAAUUAUUAUUAAUUACCCCUUUUCCUUUUUUUUAGGGAGAAGGUAAGUAAAUAUAAUGAAUGGUAUAGCAAUUAAUAUAUUUUGGGGAACUAUCGAAGUUUUAUCAAAAAUAUUUAAUCUCAAAAUAUUUGAUUAAUUAUCUAUAGAGAGUCAGAUUAUGUGCGAUAAGGUAAAUAAUCUAAAGGGAAACAGCCCAGAUUAAGAUAUAAGGUUCCUAAUUGUAUGAUAAGUGAAAAUAAUAUUAUAAUAUUGUAAUACUAUCAGUUAAUGGGUUUGACAAUAACCAUAUAUUUAAUGAACAUGUAACAAUGCACUGAUUUAUAAAUAUUAAAACAAUAUUAAACAAACUCCUAUAAAGGGGUUAUAAUAGAGAAUAUACGGAUCUUAAUAAUAAUAAUCAUACAACCGAAUAUCUAAAUAUUAUUAUUAUAUAUAAUAAUAUGGUAGUAGAACAUUUAAUGAAAAAUUAUACUAGUUAUUAAUUAGUAUAUAUUAAUAUAAUAUUAUAAUAUAUAUUAUAUAUAUCUUUCCCAUAUUUUAUUGGAGGGUAUAAAAUAGUAAUUAAAUAGAGAAUGCUGACAUGAGUAACGAUAAAAAAGUUAAAACUUUUUCACCUAAAACAUAAGGUUUUACUAUAAAAGUACGGCCCUUAAGUAAAUUAAGAAUAAAAAUAUAAUCUACGAUAGGAUAAUUCUAAACUAUAAACUUACAAGCACCAUUCAUCUUUGGUGGGUGGUGACUUUUAAUAAUAUUAUUAUAUUAAUCCUCCCUUUAUUUCCUUUAGGGGAAAAGGAGGGGGGGAUAAACUUAAUAUGAUCAGGAAAUAUAUAUAGUUAUGUACCGUAAUGUAUACCGACUCAGGUAUGUUAGUAGAGAAUAUGAAGGUGUAUUAGAUAAUUAAAGGGAAGGAACUCGGCAAAAAUAGCUCUAACGUUAGUCAAUAAAGAGUAAUAAGAACAAAGUUGUACAACUGUUUACUAAAAACACCGCACUUUGCGAAAACGAUAAGUUAAUGUAUAAGGUGUGAACUCUGCUCCAUGCUUAAUAUAUAAAUAAUAUUAUUAUAAUGAUAAUAUUAUUAAAUUUAAGUAAAUAGCAGCCUUAUUAUGAGGGUUCUAAGGUAGCGAAAUUCAUUGUCCAAUAAAUAUGGUCCUGCAUGAAUGACGUAAUGAUACAACAACUGUCUCCCCUUUAAGCUAAGUGAAAUUAAAUUCGUAGUGAAGAUUCUGCGAACCUAUAGUGUGACGGAAAGACCCUAUGCAGCUUUACUGUAAUUAGAUAGAUCGAAUAAUUGUUUAUUUUAUUCAGUAUAUUAAGUAAUUUAUUAUAAUGCAAAUGAGAUACUUAUUUAAAUAAUAUAAUUAUUCUAAUCUUACAUAUUUUAAUAUUAAUUGAUAUUUUAUUCUUAAUAUUAUCUCUUUUGGUAGUUUUGACCUUUGGGUUAUAAGAUUCUAAAAGAGAAGUAAGAGACAAUCUCUAAUUGGUAGUUUUGAUGGGGCGUCAUUUUCAGCAAAUUUAUCUGAAUAAGUCCAUUUACAAUUUAUAUUAUUAUUAAUAAUAUAACAUAUAUUAUUUAUGUUAAUUGUCAACAAUAAUAUAUUAUUUUUUAAUAAUAUAUUUUUAUAAUAGAUAAAAUAAUGUACAGUAUAAUUGUCUGGAAAACAAUAAUAAUAAUAAUAAUUUUAUAUUAUUAUAUGAAAAAUCUAUUAAAUUAAUAUAAUGGUUUAACUGUGCGAUAAUUGUAAUACAAACAAGUAAAACAAGUACGUAAGUAUGGCAUAAUGAACAAAUAACACUGAUUGUAAUGGUUAUUGAUAACGAAUAAAAGUUACGCUAGGGAUAAACAGGGUAAUAUAGCGAAAGAGUAGAUAUUGUAAGCUAUGUUUGCCACCUCGAUGUCGACUCUACCUAUCCUCUUGGUUGUAACUGCUAAGAAGGGUUUGACUGUUCGUCAAUUAAAAGGUAACGUGAGUUGGGUUAAAUACGAUGUAAAUCAGUAUGGUUCCUAUCUACUAUAGGUAAUAUUAUCAACUUAAGUCUUGUUCUUAGUACGCAAGGAUCAGAAUGAACUAAUCCAUGGUGCAUCUAUUGAUUAUAUUAAUUCUUCUGCCCUACUAAUUAUAUUAGAUUGGAAAUAUCAGAAGAAUCUAUAUUAGUUUAUAUUUUAUAAUAUAAUCACAGUAGAUAAGCUAAAUUAGUAAAUAAUAAGUAUUGAAAGCAUAUGAAAUACAAAGUAGUCUUAAGAUGAGAUAAUAAUCUGAUAAUUAAAUACUAUAAU